This 497-nucleotide ribosomal RNA is filed under the name uncultured bacterium. RNAcentral describes it as "partial 16S ribosomal RNA". It matches the Rfam family "Bacterial small subunit ribosomal RNA", at positions 28 to 507 of the family's 1533-position model. The record is from RNAcentral.
GAUGAACGCUGGCGGCGUGCCUAAUACAUGCAAGUCGAGCGAACAGACGAGGAGCUUGCUCCUCUGACGUUAGCGGCGGACGGGUGAGUAACACGUGGAUAACCUACCUAUAAGACUGGGAUAACUUCGGGAAACCGGAGCUAAUACCGGAUAAUAUAUUGAACCGCAUGGUUCAAUAGUGAAAGACGGUUUUGCUGUCACUUAUAGAUGGAUCUGCGCCGCAUUAGCUAGUUGGUAAGGUAACGGCUUACCAAGGCAACGAUGCGUAGCCGACCUGAGAGGGUGAUCGGCCACACUGGAACUGAGACACGGUCCAGACUCCUACGGGAGGCAGCAGUAGGGAAUCUGCCGCAAUGGGCGAAAGCCUGGCGGAGCAACGCCGCGUGAGUGAUGAAGGUCUUCGGAUCGUAAAACUCUGUUAUUAGGGAAGAACAAAUGUGUAAGUAACUAUGCACGUCUUGACGGUACCUAAUCAGAAAGCCACGGCUAACUACGUG